GGUAAGAGGACCCGGGCUAGGGCUCGAGGGCUGCAUGGAUUUAGCCUUGGAGGGGAGAGAACAGUCGGAAUCCCGCGCCUCCCCUCAGUUUAGGGAAAACGUUGCUUUCCGUCGGCCUGUUUGUCCAGCCUGUUCUAUGCUGUCUGCCUCUGUCUGUCUGCCUCUCUGUCCUCCUGCCUGCCCGUGUGUAUGUAUGUCUGCCUGCCUGCCUGUCUGUCUGUCCACGCGUAUGUUAGUGGGCACAUGCCCCCGUCAUCAUCCUCUGUGGAUGCCUCUGAGAUCUUUACAAGCGGCAGGUGUUGGGGACACGAAUGUCCUGGAACGCAUUCGACGGGAGGCAGAUCUCUGCUUUGCUUAGGUUGUCCCCCUAUGAAUGGCACUUAGAUGCUCACACAAACAACAGUGUCUCACCGAAGAGGGAUGGCCCCGAAGCAGGUCUCGGAAGGAAGGAGCCCAGUGCAGUGAGGCUGCUUACCCUGUGGCUAGUGGUCGUGAGCCCCACAAGUCUGCACCUUGUCGCUGCGCUCGCUUUGGCAAGGUCUCUUGGGUUCCCUCGUCAGCCUCUGCUGUCCCAGCGAUGCCCUGGCACAGUGCGGGCGCAGGCGGAGAUGAUCUGAUGUUAGACGACCUCGGUGGUCCCUGCUGAUGUUUAAGCAAACCUAAGCCUGGCAGCGCUGCAGGAAUGUUUGUUGGCACCUGGCAACGGACGCCAUCUGCAAGAAGGGUCGCGCUAGAUUGACAGAAAAACCAGGAUCUCAGCAGGGCAUAAGCCUGAGUCGUGCACGGUUCUCCAGUUUGACGCUCUGGGAACCAGGUCCGAGGAGAUUUCGGGAUGAACCCAGGAGAAUGCGUGUAGUUUUGACAAGAAGGAAGGUGAACCGGCAUUCCCCAAGAGUUGGACAUUCCACCGGCGCCAGGUCUGAGGUUCUCAGUCCUGCUCCGAGCAGCCAACUCUGCCCACAGUAGAUCAGAUGGGAUCUUUCCACUUGAAAGGAAAAUGGAGUUCACGAGUAGCCUACAGAUGCUGGGAGUCUUUCUGUGACUUUCAUCCACCGACGAUGUGACUACAAAAGAAGGAUGUGGAUCCCCACCUCACCCUGAAGUCUGGACUGUCUUCUGGACACUACAGAGUCCAGUCUCCAGUGUCCCUGUAGCUUCCAGGUAAUAACUUGGGACUCCAGGACAGCCAUGGACGGAUGAACAAAGUCCCUGCACCUGGCAGCCACCGACACUCCUGUUCCUCUGUUGAUGCCUGCAUCUCCAAGGCUGGUAUUGCAGCUGGACUUGAGAACUUUGAACGUCUGGAAACUUGACCUGUUACCAUGAAGAUGUGCAAUGGUCUGGAGUGCAAGUCUGCUGAGGAAGCCAUGUGAUUCUUCUUACAUGCUGACAGCGUUCCCACAGCCUUGAGAGGACAGGCCAGCUGAGACUAUCAUCACCAAUGUCCUAGAAACCCUGUAGCCUUGCCAGUGCAGGGUGAGCAGGCCUGCAGCUGCUGGGUAUCCCCAGAAAUCCCCAACAUCAUUCCCUGUGAGCUCUUCUAAGGCCUUCCACAGCCAAAGCCUGCUUCAAGCCUGCCUCACCAAUCAAGAAGCUGGAUUGCAGCCCUGCUGCAAGAAGUUUCAGUGACCAGAUGAAAACAGUGUCCUUCUAGGUGGACUAUUCCUAAGAGAAACAUGGGUGUCUGUAGGAUCCAGUGCAGCAGGACUGUAUCCAGGCCCCAAGAACCUCUGUGUUCAGGAAUGCUUGAAGGCUGUAUGCCGCAAUGGGGCAGCUCUGGGCACAGGGACCUCUUUACCGCCUGUGACUCAGACACUGGCGAGUACACAGCUAAGGGACUAAUGUCAGUGAAGGGAGCUGGGUAUGACUCCCUUCUGUGGAAGAGUCUUUACAUCCAUCCACAAAGCAAAAGGACCUCUGACACAUGACCUCAGAAGGACUUGGGCUCUGUGCAGAAGUAUGACGUCCUCAUAAGUUCAACCAAGGGAGUACCCCCUCUCCCAUACCUCAUGUUGCUCCACCAGAUUCCACCACAAAGCAAGGGUACCAGUGUUCUGGUCCAACUUCCCUGGAGAAUGUGGCCCAGUGAGGUUAUGAGGCUCUUUGGCAACUGACAGCAAGCUGCCUUUGUUUUGUCUAAGCUAGCUGAGACCUGAGAAGAGGGCUGUGUCUCUCCCCUGAGGCCUGGAUACACCACUCACUUCCAUCCCUCUUCAUCCUCUCCAGCAGUCUGUCCUGGGAGCCAUGGGGGGGACAGCCUCCCAGAUACCAGAGACAAGUGCCUCUCUUGUUUUGGCCGAGCCAGCCUGGGUCAGGCAGGGUGCUGGGAGAGGACACACAGCUUUGAUUCUGAGCUGCUCCUUCCUCUCCAGCCCUCCUCCCAGCCCACCUGUGCAGGAGGUCCCCUCUUCCUGCCUCAGUUCGCUGAGCUGGCACAAAGAGCCUCACUGAGCCUAAGGUCAGGGGCAUCAGAUUAGCUGCUGGGCAGGCCCGAGAGGUGGAGCCUCUGGGAGCCACUGUCUCAGGAUAAUGUCUGGUUGUUCUGGGCACAAAUGCAGGUCUACUGGGAAGGACCUGGGGAGAUAGCUCAGAAUCUAGGGCUGCCCCUCCCAAAGCCCAAGUGGGAUCGCUGAGCACAAAGACAAAAAAAAAAAAAAAAAAAACCAGAAAGAAAUCCCUAUCCGUGUUGUUAAAAUCCUCACCGUGAUGCUUAUCUAGCUUAAUACAGUCACCUUCUGUGUGAGUAAAAGGUAGAACAAAUAAAUCACAGUGGAUCUUUUAAAAAUACAAGGCUGAUAAAAUAGAAAUUAAAUUGCCUCCUUAGCAUAAGAAUAAAUCCAUCAUCCAGACACCCAGAGUUGCUCUAUCCCAGAUCUCUUCUCUCUUUCCUUUGCCAUUCUCGGCGCUUGGUUCCUACCCUACAAGAGAUUAAUGGAGUUCCAGUCACCUUACCUGCAUCCCGUCCAGCAGAAAGGCAGAGGGAAGGAAGGAAGGGAGGAAGGAAGGAAGCCCUUUUUCCUUUACCUUAAGGGCUUUGACUGAAAACCUGCUUCAUUUGUUGAACUUAAUCCGAAGGCCACAAGGAAACUGAAGCAUGUGCUGGCUAUCCUAGGUGGCCAGGCACCCAGAUGAAAGCCAGAUGUUCUAUUACUGCACAGAGAGAAGACAGAUGAGCAGCAUACGCUGACAAUGUCAACUUCAAAAUCAGCUCAUCUACCCCAUCCCUGAUGAGGCCACCAGAUCUAGAGAAAUCCACACACAGCUGGGAUCACACAGCAAGCCUGUGAUUGCCGAUUUAGCUUUAGUUCCUCUUGUUUCUCAGCUUUGGUAGAACGGCUUGAUUUCAAAGGGAGGGAGCUCGAGGAGCACUUAGCUCAGAGCUACAGGACAGGGGCAGAAUGGUGAUCGAGUUUGCGUGUUCAGAUCUGCCUGGCCCUGAGUCACGGUAGGUGAGGAACUACUCAAGAUCUCCGCGCUGGGUCUGUGGGUGUGCCUCUCGUGCCAUGUCCCUGUCCCCCGGCUGUGUGGGUGACUCCAUGUCUCUUGUUCAUGCUUAUGGUGGAGAUGCACUUCUGACUUGGCACUUACA
This is a long non-coding RNA of Mesocricetus auratus (golden hamster), 3589 nucleotides long. RefSeq lists it as uncharacterized. The transcript is spliced from 3 exons. NCBI's taxonomy places the organism in Eukaryota, Metazoa, Chordata, Mammalia, Rodentia, Cricetidae. The record is from RefSeq and is a predicted model, not a curated record.